CGGAACCAAAUUCAAAGACCUAUUCGCCUAGUUUAGAAAGAACAACGACAAAAUCUAGUCCAAAAUAACAAUUGACCAAAAACAGAAUGCAAAACAAAACCCGCGCCCGACCCAAUUUCAAGCAGAACCGAACACAACCACGAUUUCGGUGGACGUUGCCGGAAUCCGAUCGCACCACCCUCCUUCCCAGUUGGUUCCCCUUUAUGCUUUGCUCCCAAUCUUUCGAUCCCUCUUUCUAUUUUGAUCUCUCUCUCACUCGAAUCUCUGUUUCUCCGAGCUUUCUCAAUCUCCCUCCGUUUUCUCCUUUUCGAUUGUGUGUAUGCGAUGAAUUGUGAAGGGAAUCUGUGUUGUUGUUGUUAUCUGGGUGAGUCUCGAUGUUGGUGAUAGAGUGUCUAAUAGAAAAUGGUCGAUUCUCGAUAUGUGCCUGAAGCUGUGUGUAUAUAAGUUGUGUUAAUGGCGAGAGCUCUCUUCUCUCUCUUGAGUGUGUGCGUAUUCUUCUGUGUAUGUUAUCUGAUGGAUCUCCCCCUCUUUCUUUUGCCAGGGUUUCCGAUCAGGUGUGUGAUAUGUUCAGUGAGAGAAUAUAUAGAUGAGAGGAUGGAUUUUUUUUUUUGUGUGUGUGUGUGAAGAAGAUGAGUGAUGUCUAUGUACUAUGGGAAUUUCAGUGAGUGAAUUCUUGUUUUUGGAAAUGGAAAAGUGGUACUGUGUAUAUAGGAGAAAAAAUG
This 722-nucleotide long non-coding RNA is filed under the name Capsicum annuum. Its description in RNAcentral is "long non-coding RNA (CANN_LNC020015)". The record is from RNAcentral. Lineage: Eukaryota; Viridiplantae; Streptophyta; Magnoliopsida; Solanales; Solanaceae.